AAGAGACAGCGCCGCCGGCCGUGGGGAGCGGACGCAGCGAUUUGCUCCCCUUCGCGCAGCAACCCCCACACCCAGCACCAGGAGCCUGUUCCUCUCACACCCUCACCUGGCUGAGCCGCAGUAGUUCUUCAGUGGCAAGCUUUAUGUCCUGACCCAGCUAAAGCUGCCAGUUGAAGAACUGUUGCCCUCUGCCCCUGGCUUCGAGGAGGAGGAGGAGCUGCUUUCCCCAUCAUCUGGAAGGUGACAGAAAUGGGCUGGGAAGGUCCGAACAGCAGGGUUGAUGAUACGUUUUGGGAAAGUUGUAGAGCCUUUGCCCAGAUUGGCCCAGCAAGGAGCGGUUUUAGAUUAGAGACACUGGCUGAAUUGAGGAGUAGAAGGCUCAAACAACCCAAGCGGCUACAGGAAGCUGUGUCUGUUCGAUUUGGUGGGAGGAGAUGUGCAGGGAGCUGUAUCUUAUCCUCCGCUUGUGAAAAACUCAAGGAUGUGGAGAAGAGUAGACCGUGGAACCCUGCCCUUCUGCAACCAAGCUGAGGGGCAGGAUGCGUAUGGGACAGUGGUAGAGAAGCAGGGGAUAGACGCAUAGG
Molecule: long non-coding RNA, 584 nt
Filed under: Pongo abelii (Sumatran orangutan)
Lineage: Eukaryota; Metazoa; Chordata; Mammalia; Primates; Hominidae
Description: lincRNA
Rfam family: mir-22 microRNA precursor family (bases 109-192)
Source: RNAcentral